GAUGAACGCUGGCGGCGUGCUUAACACAUGCAAGUCGAACGAGGUUAACAUUUUGGAAGCGAUUAGUUUACUAAGAGCGGACAUGUUGUUAACCGAGUGGCGGACGGGUGAGUAACGCGUGGGUAACCUGCCUUAUACCGGGGGAUAACAGUUAGAAAUGACUGCUAAUACCGCAUAAGCGUACAGUGUCGCAUGACACGGUGCGAAAAACUCCGGUGGUAUGAGAUGGACCCGCGUUGGAUUAGCUAGUUGGUGAGGUAACGGCUCACCAAGGCGACGAUCCAUAGCCGGCCUGAGAGGGCGACCGGCCACAUUGGGACUGAGACACGGCCCAAACUCCUACGGGAGGCAGCAGUGGGGAAUAUUGCACAAUGGGGGAAACCCUGAUGCAGCGACGCCGCGUGAACGAAGAAGUAUUUCGGUAUGUAAAGUUCUAUCAGCAGGGAAGAAAAUGACGGUACCUGACUAAGAAGCCCCGGCUAAUUACGUGCCAGCAGCCGCCGUAAAAC
RNAcentral lists this ribosomal RNA (509 nucleotides) under uncultured bacterium. RNAcentral describes it as "bacterial SSU rRNA". It matches the Rfam family "Bacterial small subunit ribosomal RNA", at positions 28 to 526 of the family's 1533-position model. The record is from RNAcentral.